RNAcentral lists this long non-coding RNA (200 nucleotides) under Homo sapiens (human). RNAcentral describes it as "HSALNT0370095". Lineage: Eukaryota; Metazoa; Chordata; Mammalia; Primates; Hominidae. The record is from RNAcentral.
AGGCCCUACUGUAUUACACUUCAGGGUUAUUUUGAGAUGGUCACGAGAGAGCACUUGAACCCUGAACAAAGAACCUCUCUUGCCUUAUCCUAUUACAGAUGACAGUGAAGUGUUUUAAGUGCCCGGAGUCUGAUGCAACUGCAAAACCCCAACCAAAAGGUUGCCAAACAUCCUUGUUAUGGGACUCAAGAAAAAGCCAC